CUUCCCAGGUGAGGCUCGAACUCACAGCCUCGGCAUUACCUCGCAGAUACUGGUUAAGUACGCAGCAGGCCAACCAAUUGCGCCACUGGGGA
Non-coding RNA from Araneus ventricosus, 92 nucleotides. NCBI's taxonomy places the organism in Eukaryota, Metazoa, Arthropoda, Arachnida, Araneae, Araneidae. The record is from the annotation of a GenBank genome assembly.